RNAcentral lists this long non-coding RNA (1002 nucleotides) under Cricetulus griseus (Chinese hamster). Its description in RNAcentral is "lncRNA (ENSCGRG00015032645.1)". Lineage: Eukaryota; Metazoa; Chordata; Mammalia; Rodentia; Cricetidae. The record is from RNAcentral.
CUCAGUGUGUGCCUGGGACCUGCGGAGGCCAGCAGAGGGCGUGAACUCCUUUGGAACUGGACUUAUAGGUGAAGUUUCACUUCUGGAGUGUACUAUCCUCCAUCGGCAACUUCUGUUUUCCAAAUCCUCGUUAAAGCUGGAGACGCUCCGACGCAAAGACUCGGUCCGUAAUCCAGCAUUCAAGCUCCCAUGUGGGUCCCGGGAGUCAAACCUGGGUCUUCAGCAAGAGCAGGAAGUGAGUGCUCUUAACCUCAGAGCCAUCUCUCCAGCCCAACUGUUUCUUUCCCUUUUCAGAGCUCCCUACUAGAUAUGGUGACAGUUUUGAGAAGGUAAGAAGCCUUUUGCACGUGGGACCUAGCUGGCAAUUAGAGAACAGGUGUGGGCCAUGAGGUUUACAGACUGGCCCCACUUCCUGACCUGAGCUGUCUCUUCCUUGAUCUGCCAGAAUGUAACAAGCCAAACUGCACACUCCUGCUGCCACAGCCAGGAGCUGCUCUAGACUCCGUGAGUGCCACCACGCCUUCCAUCAUGAUUUGAUGAAUUACCCCUGGAUAGUAAAUAUGAAAUUUGAACCUGCCAAACUUGUCUGCAGCAGAGGCAGCACCUUAUUCUCCUGCAUUGAUGGAUCGGGGUUCUAAGCUCACAUUCUCUCAACGAUUGUCUCUCAUAGUUACAGCCAGCCUAGUGAGCAGAAAGCUAUAUUCUGUUGCUGGCAGCCAAGGAUACCAUUGAAUCCUGACCCUCCAGACUCUAUCUCCCAAGUGCUAGAAUUACAGGGAUGAACCUCCAGGACCAGCUGUAAGAAAGUCUCUCCACCAUUUGUUUCAGACCCAAAGAAAUCAACCUGGGGAAUGGCGUGAGUCCUGCUCCUAAAGAGUUUGGUUUGUGAGCGCCAGUACUGUGUGGCUCACACGCUAACUCCAGCUCCAGGGCAUCUGAUGCCCUCUGUUGGCUUCCAUUGGCACAGGCACACAUACUUAUAUAGACCUACACACACAUAAG